Molecule: ribosomal RNA, 446 nt
Filed under: uncultured bacterium
Lineage: Bacteria
Description: partial 16S ribosomal RNA
Rfam family: Bacterial small subunit ribosomal RNA
Source: RNAcentral
CCUACGGGUGGCAGCAGUCGAGAAUCAUUCACAAUGGGGGAAACCCUGAUGGUGCGACGCCGCGUGGGGGAAUGAAGGUCUUCGGAUUGUAAACCCCUGUCAUGUGGGAGCAAAUUAAAAAGAUAGUACCACAAGAGGAAGAGACGGCUAACUCUGUGCCAGCAGCCGCGGUAAUACAGAGGUCUCAAGCGUUGUUCGGAAUCACUGGGCGUAAAGCGUGCGAAGGCUGUUUCGUAAGUCGUGUGUGAAAGGCGCGGGCUCAACCCGCGGACGGCACAUGAUACUGCGAGACUAGAGUAAGGGAGGGGGAACCGGAAUGCUCGGUGUAGCAGUGAAAUGCGUAGAUAUCGAGAGGAACACUCGUGGCGAAGGCGGGUUCCUGGACAUUAACUGACGCUAAGGCACGAAGGCCAGGGGAGCGAAAGGGAUUAGAUACCCGAGUAGUC